Molecule: ribosomal RNA, 281 nt
Filed under: uncultured prokaryote
Description: partial 16S ribosomal RNA
Rfam family: Bacterial small subunit ribosomal RNA
Source: RNAcentral
UACGUAGGGGCUAGCGUUAUCCGGAAUUACUGGGCGUAAAGGGUGCGUAGGUGGUUUCUUAAGUCAGAGGUGAAAGGCUACGGCUCAACCGUAGUAAGCCUUUGAAACUGGGGAACUUGAGUGCAGGAGAGGAGAGUGGAAUUCCUAGUGUAGCGGUGAAAUGCGUAGAUAUUAGGAGGAACACCAGUUGCGAAGGCGGCUCUCUGGACUGUAACUGACACUGAGGCACGAAAGCGUGGGGAGCAAAACAGGAUUAGAUACCCCGGUAGUCCCUGAGCGGG